GCGCCUGCGCGGCGGGGGCCACCCAUCGCGCAUCCUCGGGCAGGGAGACGGCCUGCGCCGGCAGGCCGGUCAGGCGUUCCAGCGCCUGUUGGCCCA
Molecule: transfer RNA, 96 nt
Filed under: Pigmentiphaga humi
Lineage: Bacteria; Pseudomonadati; Pseudomonadota; Betaproteobacteria; Burkholderiales; Alcaligenaceae
Description: Pigmentiphaga sp. IMT-318 tRNA-Pro
Source: RNAcentral